Molecule: ribosomal RNA, 435 nt
Filed under: uncultured bacterium
Lineage: Bacteria
Description: partial 16S ribosomal RNA
Rfam family: Bacterial small subunit ribosomal RNA
Source: RNAcentral
AGCGAACGCUGGCGGCAGGCUUAACACAUGCAAGUCGAGCGGGCAUAGCAAUAUGUCAGCGGCAGACGGGUGAGUAACGCGUGGGAACGUACCUUUUGGUUCGGAACAACUGAGGGAAACUUCAGCUAAUACCGGAUAAUCCCUUACGGGGAAAGAUUUAUCGCCGAAAGAUCGGCCCGCGUCUGAUUAGCUAGUUGGUGAGGUAAUGGCUCACCAAGGCGACGAUCAGUAGCUGGUCUGAGAGGAUGAUCAGCCACAUUGGGACUGAGACACGGCCCAAACUCCUACGGGAGGCAGCAGUGGGGAAUAUUGGACAAUGGGCGCAAGCCUGAUCCAGCCAUGCCGCGUGAGUGAUGAAGGCCCUAGGGUUGUAAAGCUCUUUUGUGCGGGAAGAUAAUGACGGUACCGCAAGAAUAAGCCCCGGCUAACUUCGUG